Molecule: ribosomal RNA, 468 nt
Filed under: uncultured bacterium
Lineage: Bacteria
Description: partial 16S ribosomal RNA
Rfam family: Bacterial small subunit ribosomal RNA
Source: RNAcentral
GACGAACGCUGGCGGCGUGCUUAACACAUGCAAGUCGAACGGAAAGGCCCUGCUUUUGUGGGGUGCUCGAGUGGCGAACGUGUGAGUAACACGUGAGUAACCUGCCCUUGACUUUGGGAUAACUUCAGGAAACUGGGGCCAAUUCCGGAUCGGCGCUCCUGCUGCAUUGUGGGGGUUGGAAAGUUUCGGCGGUUGGGGAUGGACUCGCGGCUUAUCAGCUUGUUGGUGGGGUCGUGGCUUACCAAGGCUUUGACGGGUAGCCGGCCUGAGAGGGUGACCGGCCACAUUGGGACUGAGAUACGGCCCAGACUCCUACGGGAGGCAGCAGUGGGGAAUAUUGCACAAUGGGCGGAAGCCUGAUGCAGCAACGCCGCGUGCGGGAUGACGGCCUUCGGGUUGUAAACCGCUUUCGCCUGUGACGAAGCGUGAGUGACGGUAAUGGGUAAAGAAGCACCGGCUAACUACGUG